GAUGAAGAACGUAGCGAAAUGCGAUAAGUAAUGUGAAUUGCAGAAUUCAGUGAAUCAUCGAAUCUUUGAACGCACAUUGCGCCCGCCAGUAUUCUGGCGGGCAUACCUGUUCGAGCGUCAUUUCAACCAUCAAGCCCCCGGCUUGUGUUGGGGACCUGCGGCUGCCGCAGGCCCUGAAAACCAGUGGCGGGCUCGCUAGUCACUCCGAGCGUAGUAAUACAUCUCGCUCAGGGCGUGCUGCGGGUUCCGGCCGUUAAAAAGCCUUAUUUACCCAAGGUUGACCUCGGAUCAGGUAGGAAGACCCGCUGAACUUAAGCAUAUCAAUAAGCGGAGGA
Molecule: unclassified non-coding RNA, 335 nt
Filed under: soil metagenome
Description: partial contains 5.8S ribosomal RNA, internal transcribed spacer 2, and large subunit ribosomal RNA
Rfam family: 5.8S ribosomal RNA (bases 1-120)
Source: RNAcentral